GAUGAACGCUAGCGAUAGGCUUAACACAUGCAAGUCGAGGGGCAGCACAAGGUAGCUUGCUAUCUGGGUGGCGACCGGCGCACGGGUGCGUAACGCGCAUGCAACUUGCCCUAUACAGGAGGAUAACCCGUCGAAAGACGGACUAAUACUGCGUAUGCUCACAACUUGGCAUCAAGUGGUGAGGAAAGAAAUUCGGUAUAGGAUAGGCAUGCGUCCCAUUAGCUUGUUGGUGAGGUAACGGCUCACCAAGGCAACGAUGGGUAGGGGAACUGAGAGGUUUAUCCCCCACACUGGUACUGAGACACGGACCAGACUCCUACGGGAGGCAGCAGUGAGGAAUAUUGGUCAAUGGGCGCGAGCCUGAACCAGCCAAGUCGCGUGAAGGAUGACUGUCUUAUGGAUUGUAAACUUCUUUUAUACGGGAAUAACAAGAGUCACGUGUGACUCCCUGCAUGUACCGUAUGAAUAAGCAUCGGCUAACUCCGUG
This 487-nucleotide ribosomal RNA is filed under the name uncultured bacterium. RNAcentral's name for it is "partial 16S ribosomal RNA". It matches the Rfam family "Bacterial small subunit ribosomal RNA", at positions 28 to 507 of the family's 1533-position model. The record is from RNAcentral.